GUAGGCAUGGUGCAAAGCAACAUGCCAGACUGUGGCUCUGGCGUUGUGGGUUCGAGUCCCACUGCCUACC
This 70-nucleotide transfer RNA is filed under the name Caldicellulosiruptor bescii. RNAcentral describes it as "tRNA_His_GTG". It matches the Rfam family "tRNA". Rfam says of the family: Transfer RNA (tRNA) molecules are approximately 80 nucleotides in length. Their secondary structure includes four short double-helical elements and three loops (D, anti-codon, and T loops). Lineage: Bacteria; Bacillati; Bacillota; Caldicellulosiruptorales; Caldicellulosiruptoraceae. The record is from RNAcentral.